GCCCUCGUAGCCCAAUGGUAGGGCGUCAGACUUCUAAUCUGAAGGUUGCGGGUUCGAGUCCCGCCGGGGGUA
This is a transfer RNA of Paracoccidioides brasiliensis, 72 nucleotides long. It matches the Rfam family "tRNA". Rfam says of the family: Transfer RNA (tRNA) molecules are approximately 80 nucleotides in length. NCBI's taxonomy places the organism in Eukaryota, Fungi, Ascomycota, Eurotiomycetes, Onygenales, Ajellomycetaceae. The record is from Rfam.